AAGGUUACUAUUUUAAUUCUCGUGGCUACAUUAUUUGCUGUUUUAGUCGCCAGCCAUUUCUUUGCUUUUGCAUUGUUUAGUGCAACACGUGUUUGAUUCACUAGUGAUAAACAUUGAUUUUAUUAAUUUUAGUACUUAAUUCUUCAUUUUAAGACUUGGAUAAUCUAUUAAAUCUCUUAUGGUAGUUAAGGCUUCAGUAAUCCAGGAUUAAAAGUUGAAUUAUUUGAAACCCCAUCUUCCUGAUGUAAUUCUGGGUCGCAAUGUGCAGCUUCAAAACUUUCCAGGAUUUAAAAUUAAAUGUUUAAUGGAGAAAAUAAAAGAGUGACUGUUCUACAUAUUGGUUCUAUCGAUUGCUCUGUGGAUGGUAGAGCCAAUAUAACAGUUUGAAAGAUUAAGAAAUUUUGUUGAACAAUCCUAGAGGGGUAUAGUAUAAAGAAAAUGUUCAUUAAUAUUUUUGCAUUUUAAUUCUUGUAUGAGAAGAUUUAUAAAUGGUGUUCUUUUGUAUAGUGUCAUGGCCAUUUUAACCAACAAUAAGUGCCUAAGGAUUUUAUAAAAUCCGUAACAUUCUUUACCUUUUUUAAUAAAUUUGAACAAGUGUGCCAUUCAUGGUUAAGAAUUUUAUAAAA
Non-coding RNA from Parasteatoda tepidariorum (common house spider), 626 nucleotides. Lineage: Eukaryota; Metazoa; Arthropoda; Arachnida; Araneae; Theridiidae. The record is from RefSeq and is a predicted model, not a curated record.